AAAGCUCGUAGUCCAAUUUUAGGCGGGUGUGUGCGGUCUGGCUUUGCUUAGUACUGCCCAUGCCUGCCUUAUUGCCGGUUACCCGCUCCUGGGCUUAACUGUCCGGGACGGUGAGUCGGCGAGGUUACUUUGAGUAAAUUAGAGUGUUCAAAGCAGGCCUACGCUCUGAAUACACUAGCAUGGGAUAACACGAUAGGACUCUGGCCUAUCCUGUUGGUCUGUAGGACCGGAGUAAUGAUUAAGAGGGACAGUCGGGGGCAUUCGUAUUUCAUUGUCAGAGGUGAAAUUCUUGGAUUUAUGAAAGACGAACUACUGCGAAAGCAUUUGCCAAGGAUGUUUUCAUUGAUCAAGAACGAAAGUUGGGGGCUCGAAGACGAUUAGA
RNAcentral lists this ribosomal RNA (382 nucleotides) under Scotinosphaera austriaca. Its description in RNAcentral is "SSU rRNA". It matches the Rfam family "Eukaryotic small subunit ribosomal RNA", at positions 623 to 1012 of the family's 1831-position model. The record is from RNAcentral. Lineage: Eukaryota; Viridiplantae; Chlorophyta; Ulvophyceae; Scotinosphaerales; Scotinosphaeraceae.